Molecule: non-coding RNA, 46 nt
Organism: Schistosoma curassoni
Lineage: Eukaryota; Metazoa; Platyhelminthes; Trematoda; Strigeidida; Schistosomatidae
Source: Rfam
GCACUGCUGAGGAGUCCCAUAUCAGGACGAAACGGCCGUCCAGUGC